This 1831-nucleotide unclassified non-coding RNA is filed under the name Limulus polyphemus (Atlantic horseshoe crab). RNAcentral describes it as "calcitonin gene-related peptide type 1 receptor-like, transcript variant X1". Lineage: Eukaryota; Metazoa; Arthropoda; Merostomata; Xiphosura; Limulidae. The record is from RNAcentral.
UUUCGACAGUGUUAUAUGUUAAUGUUCAUGUCUAACAUUUUUUAGCUUGUAUAUCAUUUGCUUAUUUUAGUAUUUUUGGCUUACAUAAAUUUUCAAGACAAAGUCGAGGACAUUUAGUGUAUAAAUUUACAAUCCUCCUGGAUCAAACUUAAAAGAUUCUGGCCCUUCAUCCUAAUCCUUCUGGUGUAGACGAUAUUACAACGAAGAAGAGAAAACAGAAAUUAUAUCAGGCGGAAAUUUAGCUUGUAACUUAAAGCAGUGUCUUGAACAUGAAAACUUGGAACAGUAAUUUGGUUUUGAUGUUCACUUCAAUGGUAAAAUUCUCUAUCGCCGAAAGCCUUCACAUGCUUCUAUCGAUGACAUUUCUAAUGACGAGGCCCUGCUUGAGCGAAAUCUAACACAAAACUUUGUUGUCAAAGGGUCUAGUUACGUCAGUUUUGCAGUUCAAAAUACUGGAUGUCGAACGGAAAGAAUGGGGAAAAUCUCCCAACCCUACUAUAACUAUGACACUUGUGCUCGCUGUUACAACUAUAUGCCUAAUUACGUAUUUGCUACAAGAUUUAAGUACAGAGGAUAUGUGCUGAUAAAUUCUCAAAAUGAAACAUUUAUUGCGAACCCUGCUAACUUUAGCCAGAAUAUUGUGGCUAGUUUCAUGUCAGAGCGUUACGCAAAUAAGUGGAAAGAAUGUUGUCUUGCAGCUGUUGAAUGCUGUAACAAAAUGACCUCAUCUCCCCCUUGGAGUUCAAAUUCUUCCUUUUGUCCGAGAACGUGGGAUGGUUGGCUUUGCUGGCCGGAUACACAGGCAGGCGUUCUUGCGAAACAGCCUUGUCCUAGCCAUAUUUAUUGGACUGGUAAUCCUCCGAGCUGUCCAAGAUACGCAGAAAAAAAGUGUUUGCUAAACAACACGUGGUUUCAGAAGUUUCCAGGAAAAGAAUGGACUGAAUAUAAUAAAUGUGGUAUAUUGAAGAUGGUUAAAGAACGAACAUACUUCCUCAUCGGCUCUUUCGUCGUUUCUGUGAUUGCCUUGAUUCCAGCUAUUAUCAUCUUUUUUGUCUACAGACAAUUUCACCUACCAAAGUAUAUUAUGCACAAGAACUUGUUUACCUCAUUAUUAUUGAAUGCUGUGGUCGUCAUUGUUUUCAACUCCGUUUUUAAGCUCCAAGAAUUACGUGUAAACAGUGAAACCGACGACUCUGUACUAAACCAAAAUGGCAGUGGCUGUAAGAUACUUCUGAUCUUAACUAAGUACUUCAGAAUGACGACAUAUAUGUGGAUGUUCUGUGAAGGUUUUUAUCUUCAUAAACUAAUUGUAGCUGCCUUCGCUAAACAGACGAACAUGAUUGUAUUCUAUGUCACUGGAUGGGUAUCUCCAGCACUUAUAGUGGGUAUUUACGGCAUUUUACGGAAAAUAUUAAAGGACGAGAGGUGCUGGUCCCAGUCUCUGGAGCCCUAUGAGUGGAUAUUGACUGCACCAAAUUUAUUGAGCUUAGUGUUUAACCUGUUGUUCCUGUGUAAUAUCAUCAGAGUGUUGGUUAUGAAAAUGAGAGCAGUUCAGACCAAUGAGCUUAACCAGUACAGCUGUGAAAGCAACGAUGGCACUAUUUCCACUAUUUGGCGUUCAUCUGUUCUUGGUGAGUUUUACACCUCAGUCGAUGGAGUGUGAAGCUCUAAAUAUUUACUACUAUUUCCAGCACAGCAUCGACGGUUUACAGGGGUUUCUAGUGGCUUUAAUAUUUUGCUACCUAAACAGAGAGGUUUUGGAUGCACUCACAAAAUCCUACAUACGGUAUAAAAAGCGCCAACAAACUCCUGGUCAUACGGCUAUUUCCAC